CAUUAAGUUUAUUGUUUCUGGGUUUUUUUUUUAAUGUAAUUCUGGAAUGAAGAUAAUAAAAUUAUGAAAAACACUGAUAAAAAAAAAGUGGUGCCAAGAAAAUACUUCAGAAAAUAUGUCAGUUGCCAUACAUAUCUGAAUCCAAACUCUUUCAUUUUAGAACUCGGGAAGCAAUACUUUGUUGAUGCUUGUCUGUGCCAAAUUCUUGUGUUGUCAUGGAUUUACUAGAUUUGUCUACAACCUUCUUGCAUGCGCACUUUUAAUAUAUAUUUAUAUAUUUGAAACAAAAGAAACUAUUUCUGCAACUAGUCUAAAAUGGGUGCUACUGAUUCAGAGAACUGGGGCACUGUCCUCUUCUAUUACAAGUUAUGAACUGACCCAAAUGACUCUAUACAUGAGAAAAGAAGACGAGAAAUUAAGUGGAUCAUUUCGUAAUAGCUUUGUUCCAGCCUAAAGUCCUUGACCAUGCUAACAUGUUUUCUUUCAGGCACUGAUGCUUAACAAAUCCAGUUCAAGAUGAGCAGGCUUCUGGUGAAUUUGGAAAUUUGCUCCCCAGGUGCCAGAUCAAUGCUCAAUCUGGAGACAUUUAGCUUUGUUUGAGUUCAUCCUUUUUCUUAUUAUUUUGAAGAAUUUUUGUUUCAGUCACUUUAUGGUAUGGUUAAAUAGACUGAUCACUUCUGGAAAA
Populus euphratica (Euphrates poplar) is the source of this 685-nucleotide long non-coding RNA. RefSeq lists it as uncharacterized. NCBI's taxonomy places the organism in Eukaryota, Viridiplantae, Streptophyta, Magnoliopsida, Malpighiales, Salicaceae. The transcript has 2 exons. The record is from RefSeq and is a predicted model, not a curated record.